UCGUGCACGAUUCCUCUCCUUCAUCUCCUUCGCACGGACGCCACACCACGAAGCAGCUGCUCUUGUUUUCUUUCCAUCUAUUCCUUCGACUGAGAACCUCUGCCGCACGACUUCCUUCACGAUUGCAGCCACGCACAUCUCCACUAUCAUUUCAUCCUCAUCACCCAUCCAUAUCCACCACCACAUCAUCACCAUCUAUCAUCAUCCCAUCUUCCGCCAUCACCCCACGUCCGUAGCUCAUGCCUCAAGUCAACCAUUGAAGUUUAGUUGACUGAAGAAGCCCCACA
Molecule: long non-coding RNA, 287 nt
Filed under: Eucalyptus grandis
Lineage: Eukaryota; Viridiplantae; Streptophyta; Magnoliopsida; Myrtales; Myrtaceae
Description: long non-coding RNA (EGRA_LNC002387)
Source: RNAcentral